RNAcentral lists this long non-coding RNA (667 nucleotides) under Lynx pardinus (Iberian lynx). The record is from RNAcentral. Lineage: Eukaryota; Metazoa; Chordata; Mammalia; Carnivora; Felidae.
GGACCCUGCACAACCGAGGGAAAGGAUAUAUUAAUGGAAUCCUAAGCUGCAAACACUGAAGUGAAAAUUAAGGAAGUUUAUUCUGCAUUUUGUCCCUAUAAAGCCAAAAGGCGAGACAGAAAAUGAAGUUUGCUUUUUUUCCACACACAGCACUGGAGGAGCACAUUUAAAUUAAAAAAAAAAAAAAGUCAUUGUUUUUAGAUGCAUGCAUGUGGGUGAUUAAAAUCCAAAUCCCCAUUGCUGUUUUUGUUAUUUUCAGUAUUUAAGAAAGGUUUGAAAUGUUUAAUGCAUUUUCAGAUUUGCUCUUCUGGAAGAGUGAACAAAGGCCAUUGUUGACAGUCUUCAGUUUCUCCUGGGAAAGGUUGGGAGAAAGAAGGACUUUCUUCCCUCCCAGGUGGACUCAUUUAGGCUGGGAGCUGUCCAGUGCUGAACAAAUCUUCUUGUCUAGACCUCCAACUGUCUCAGCCACCCAGACAGGCAAUCUUGGACCUUCAUUCUCAUCAAAGGCCCUCAGGCACCCAAUGUAUAGACCCACCACUUAGCUUUCCCCACCUCGCUCUGGCCACUCCCAAAUCUGGACCAAGGUCAUGUUGGAGCCACUCACUUGUCUUAUCCUUCUUAUCCUCGCCAUUGGCAAGCACCAAACAUCUUUAACAGAGCCUGCCAA